This 1053-nucleotide ribosomal RNA is filed under the name Styela plicata. RNAcentral describes it as "large subunit ribosomal RNA". The stretch from base 675 to 1003 matches the Rfam family "Archaeal large subunit ribosomal RNA", at positions 2152 to 2714 of the family's 2987-position model. The record is from RNAcentral. Lineage: Eukaryota; Metazoa; Chordata; Ascidiacea; Stolidobranchia; Styelidae.
CUAAUCUUUGAUUUAAUAAACAAUUAAUAAUUACUAAGUGAUUUUUUUAUUGUGUUUACCGUUAAGUUAUAUGGUUAUAUUACCUUUUGUAUAAUGGUCUGUAGAGUUUAUUUAUAUGAGUAUUAUUUAACUCGAAAACAUAUGAUAAAUAGGUAAUAAUAUGUAUUGUUACAAUAAUAUAAGUUAUUUUAUCUAUGGGAGUGAUAAGACAAUCGGAUAUGUUGAUAUAUAGUUUUUCCUAUUUUUGUAAGUAAUUUACAUUAGUGUCUUAUUGGGACAGCCACUAAGACCCAAAAAUUAGCUAGCCCACAUACAAAGCAUUAAUAUAGUAAUUAUAGUGUAGUUAUUUUGGGUUAUUUUAAGGAAAUUAACUUAUUAUAGAAUUAGUACAAGUAUCUUAUAAUAGUAAUUUAUAUACAUAUAAAUAAACUAACAUGUUUAGAUGAUAAUGUGGAAUUAGGCAAAUAUACCGCUGACAGUUUACUAAAAACUUAGCUUAAUGUUAUUACUUAUAUUAAGUGUUUUCUGCUCAGUGAUACGUUAAACAGCAUAUUUAAUUUAAAGUAGCAUAAUAUUGUCUAUUAAUUGUAGUCUUGUGAAGAAGUAACAGUGGUUUUCUGUCAUAUUAUCAAUAUUGUAAAUUCAGUGGGUGGUGAAAACUCCACCUUUAGUAUUAUAGAAAAAAAGACCCUAGGUACUUUUACCUGAAGAUUAGAUCAGUGGGUUUUUACUGGGGCAGUAGCCUUUUAAGGUUAACUAAGGUUUAUGUUUCAUAUUUUAUUAUAGUUUAAGAAAUGGCCUUUCGGGAGGCCUUGUAAGUAACCCUAGGGAUAACAGCGCAAUUUGCUAGGAGAGUUCAUAUUAAUUAGCGAGUUUACGACCUCGAUGUCGACUUGUAGUUGUUGCUGAGUCGCAGAAGAUUUAGUAGUUGUGUUUGUUCACCACUUAGUAAUACACGUGAGUUGGGUUUAGAACGGGGUGACUUAGUUUGGAUUUUUUCUUACAAUAAAUUAAAAUCGUAGUACGAAAGGAAAAAGAUUUGAAUUGUUAAAA